GAUGAACGCUGGCGGCGUGCCUAAUACAUGCAAGUCGAGCGAACGGACGAGAAGCUUGCUUCUCUGAUGUUAGCGGCGGACGGGUGAGUAACACGUGGAUAACCUACCUAUAAGACUGGGAUAACUUCGGGAAACCGUAGCUAAUACCGGAUAAUAUUUUGAACCGCAUGGUUCAAAAGUGAAAGACGGUCUUGCUGUCACUUAUAGAUGGAUCCGCGCUGCAUUAGCUAGUUGGUAAGGUAACGGCUUACCAAGGCAACGAUGCAUAGCCGACCUGAGAGGGUGAUCGGCCACACGGGAACUGAGACGCGGCGCAGACCCCUACGGGAGGCAGCAGUGGGGAAUCUUCCGCAAUGGGCGAAAGCCUGACGGAGAAACGCCGCGAGAGUGAUGAGGGUCUUCGGAUCGUAAAACUCUGUUAUUAGGGAAGAACAUAUGUGUAAGUAACUGUGCACAUCUUGGCGGUACCUAAACAGAAAGCCGCGGCUAACUCCGU
This 496-nucleotide ribosomal RNA is filed under the name uncultured bacterium. RNAcentral's name for it is "partial 16S ribosomal RNA". It matches the Rfam family "Bacterial small subunit ribosomal RNA", at positions 28 to 506 of the family's 1533-position model. The record is from RNAcentral.